UUGAUGGUGUUGUGAGGCUGACUUGCUUGGGAGUUCAUUCAUGUCCCUAAGCGCUUCAUCCUUAUAGACACCUUCAGCG
RNAcentral lists this microRNA precursor (79 nucleotides) under Haemonchus contortus (barber pole worm). Its description in RNAcentral is "microRNA hco-mir-5911a precursor". It matches the Rfam family "mir-5911 microRNA precursor family". The record is from miRBase by way of RNAcentral. Lineage: Eukaryota; Metazoa; Nematoda; Chromadorea; Rhabditida; Trichostrongylidae.